RNAcentral lists this ribosomal RNA (465 nucleotides) under uncultured bacterium. RNAcentral describes it as "partial 16S ribosomal RNA". It matches the Rfam family "Bacterial small subunit ribosomal RNA", at positions 28 to 507 of the family's 1533-position model. The record is from RNAcentral.
GACGAACGCUGGCGGCGUGCUUAACACAUGCAAGUCGAACGGAAAGGCCCUGCUUGCAGGGUACUCGAGUGGCGAACGGGUGAGUAACACGUGGGUGAUCUGCCCUGCACUUCGGGAUAAGCCUGGGAAACUGGGUCUAAUACCGGAUAGGAGCCAUUUUUAGUGUGAUGGUUGGAAAGUUUUUUCGGUGUAGGAUGAGCUCGCGGCCUAUCAGCUUGUUGGUGGGGUAAUGGCCUACCAAGGCGGCGACGGGUAGCCGGCCUGGGAGGGUGGACGGCCACCUUGGGGCUGGGAAACGGCCCAGACUCCCACGGGAGGCAGCAGUGGGGAAUAUUGCACAAUGGGCGCAAGCCUGAUGCAGCGACGCCGCGUGGGGGAUGACGGCCUUCGGGUUGUAAACUCCUUUCGCUAGGGACGAAGCUUUUUGUGACGGUACCUAGAUAAGAAGCACCGGCUAACUACGUG